CGCGGGGUGGAGCAGCCUGGUAGCUCGUCGGGCUCAUAACCCGAAGGUCGUCGGUUCAAAUCCGGCCCGCAA
Molecule: transfer RNA, 72 nt
Filed under: Escherichia coli
Lineage: Bacteria; Pseudomonadati; Pseudomonadota; Gammaproteobacteria; Enterobacterales; Enterobacteriaceae
Description: tRNA-Met
Rfam family: tRNA
About the family: Transfer RNA (tRNA) molecules are approximately 80 nucleotides in length. Their secondary structure includes four short double-helical elements and three loops (D, anti-codon, and T loops).
Source: RNAcentral